UGAGGAAUAUUGGUCAAUGGGCGGGAGCCUGAACCAGCCAAGUCGCGUGAAGGAAGAAGGAUCUAUGGUUCGUAAACUUCUUUUGCAGGGGAAUAAAGUGCAGGACGUGUCCUGUUUUGUAUGUACCCUGAGAAUAAGGAUCGGCUAACUCCGUGCCAGCAGCCGCGGUAAUACGGAGGCUCCGAGCGUUAUCCGGAUUUAUUGGGUUCAAAGGGUGCGUAGGUGGUUUGAUAAGUCAGCGGUGAAAGUUUGCAGCUUAACUGUAAAAAUGCCGUUGAAACUGUCGGACUUGAGUGUAAAUGAGGUAGGCGGAAUGCGUGGUGUAGCGGUGAAAUGCAUAGAUAUCACGCAGAACUCCGAUUGCGAAGGCAGCUUACUAAGCUACAACUGACACUGAAGCACGAAAGCGUGGGGAUCAAACA
This 422-nucleotide ribosomal RNA is filed under the name uncultured bacterium. Its description in RNAcentral is "bacterial SSU rRNA". It matches the Rfam family "Bacterial small subunit ribosomal RNA", at positions 355 to 774 of the family's 1533-position model. The record is from RNAcentral.